UCCUCCCCCCUCGUUCUCAAAAUGGUUUCCACUUGCACAAUCCAGACGGGAUUUGUCAAGAUUGAUUUAUAAGAAGUUUAACAUCUUAUACUAAACUUGAAACAAAAUUUUUACAGCUCUGAUUGACAAUUCCAGAGUUGUAAAAUGCAUUUUUCAAGUAAAAUUGGAGAAGUAAAAUGCAAUUUUCAAUAUUCUUUUAGUCCG
This 204-nucleotide long non-coding RNA is filed under the name Medicago truncatula (barrel medic). RNAcentral's name for it is "lncRNA gene30070". The record is from RNAcentral. Lineage: Eukaryota; Viridiplantae; Streptophyta; Magnoliopsida; Fabales; Fabaceae.